GUGCCAGCCGCCGCGGUGAUACCGGCAGCACGAGUGAUGGCCGAUAUUAUUGGGCCUAAAGCGUCCGUAGCUGGCCGGACAAGUCCGUUGGGAAAUCCACCCGCUUAACGGGUGGGCGUCCAGCGGAAACUGUCCGGCUUGGGGCCGGAGGACUCGAGGGGUACGUCCGGGGUAGGAGUGAAAUCCCGUAAUCCCGAACGGACCACCGAUGGCGAAAGCAUCUCGAGAAAACGGAUCCGACAGUGAGGGACGAAAGCUAGGGUCUCGAACCGGAUUAGAUACCCUGGUAGUCC
This 293-nucleotide ribosomal RNA is filed under the name uncultured bacterium. RNAcentral's name for it is "partial 16S ribosomal RNA". It matches the Rfam family "Archaeal small subunit ribosomal RNA", at positions 455 to 747 of the family's 1478-position model. The record is from RNAcentral.